GUGGGGAAUCUUCCGCAAUGGACGAAAGUCUGACGGAGCAACGCCGCGUGAGUGAAGAAGGUUUUCGGAUCGUAAAGCUCUUUCGUUAGGGACGAACGUGCUCUUUGUGAAUAAUGAGGAGUAAUGACGGUACCUAAAUAAGAAGCCACGGCUAACUACGUGCCAGCAGCCGCGGUAAUACGUAGGUGGCAAGCGUUGUCCGGAAUUAUUGGGCGUAAAGCGCGCGCAGGCGGGAUAUCAAGUCUGUCUUAAAAGUGCGAGGCUCAACCUCGUGAGGGGACAGAAACUGGUAUUCUUGAGUGUCGGAGAGGAAAGUGGAAUUCCAAGUGUAGCGGUGAAAUGCGUAGAGAUUUGGAAGAACACCAGUGGCGAAGGCGACUUUCUGGACGAUGUCUGACGCUGAGGCGCGAAAGCUAGGGGAGCGAACAGGAUUAGAUACCCUGGUAGUCC
This 450-nucleotide ribosomal RNA is filed under the name uncultured bacterium. RNAcentral's name for it is "partial 16S ribosomal RNA". It matches the Rfam family "Bacterial small subunit ribosomal RNA", at positions 354 to 796 of the family's 1533-position model. The record is from RNAcentral.